Molecule: ribosomal RNA, 619 nt
Filed under: uncultured bacterium
Lineage: Bacteria
Description: bacterial SSU rRNA
Rfam family: Bacterial small subunit ribosomal RNA
Source: RNAcentral
GCAGUCGAGCGGAAACGAGUUAUCUGAACCUUCGGGGAACGAUAACGGCGUCGAGCGGCGGACGGGUGAGUAAUGCCUAGGAAAUUGCCCUGGUGUGGGGGAUAACCAUUGGAAACGAUGGCUAAUACCGCAUAAUGCCUACGGGCCAAAGAGGGGGACCUUCGGGCCUCUCGCGUCAGGAUAUGCCUAGGUGGGAUUAGCUAGUUGGUGAGGUAAUGGCUCACCAAGGCGACGAUCCCUAGCUGGUCUGAGAGGAUGAUCAGCCACACUGGAACUGAGACACGGUCCAGACUCCUACGGGAGGCAGCAGUGGGGAAUAUUGCACAAUGGGCGCAAGCCUGAUGCAGCCAUGCCGCGUGUGUGAAGAAGGCCUUCGGGUUGUAAAGCACUUUCAGUCGUGAGGAAGGUAGUGUAGUUAAUAGCUGCAUUAUUUGACGUUAGCGACAGAAGAAGCACCGGCUAACUCCGUGCCAGCAGCCGCGGUAAUACGGAGGGUGCGAGCGUUAAUCGGAAUUACUGGGCGUAAAGCGCAUGCAGGUGGUUUGUUAAGUCAGAUGUGAAAGCCCGGGGCUCAACCUCGGAAUAGCAUUUGAAACUGGCAGACUAGAGUACUGUAGAG